CCCACAGAUCUCCGAAGAAAAGAAUGAAAUAAAAAAAAAGAUUGGAAGAGAAAAAGAUGAUCAAUCCAUAUGGGAAAAGGUUUUACCUUUGGAUUAAGCUCUCAAAACCUAAAGGGCCCAACUCACACUGCCACAACUCCCACAAAAUCCCAUAUGCUCGAGAAAAAACUUCAACAGAAACCUAAGAACCCCCACCCAUCUCCCUUAUGUGCUCUUCUUUCCC
This 223-nucleotide long non-coding RNA is filed under the name Elaeis guineensis (African oil palm). RNAcentral describes it as "long non-coding RNA (EGUI_LNC054646)". The record is from RNAcentral. Lineage: Eukaryota; Viridiplantae; Streptophyta; Magnoliopsida; Arecales; Arecaceae.